UACAAUUUAGUAUAAGCUGUACAAAAAUUUUUGAAAUUUUAGGAAAUAGAUUAAAACUAUUAUUUGUAA
Molecule: transfer RNA, 69 nt
Filed under: Curculionoidea sp. 1 KM-2017
Lineage: Eukaryota; Metazoa; Arthropoda; Insecta; Coleoptera
Description: tRNA-Gln
Source: RNAcentral